UUCCUCCGCAAAAAAAAGAAAAAAAAGGAAGCAGCGUCGCUUUUUUCCUCCUAAUCCGCGACAGCGCGGGCCCCCUCCCCCCUGGGCGCCACCACCCAGCUUCGGCGGCGAUGGCCGCCGCUGCCGCCGCCGCCGCUCCGUUCUCCAUCCGGUACCGUACGACUCCGCCGCUGCUGCUGCUUUCCGGACACCUGCAUUGCGGACUGACCUCGUGCUUGCUGCCGUUGUUGUUGUUGUUGUUGUUGUUGAAGGGGGUAUGCGGCGAGGGCGCGGGCGGGGGCGGCGGACGCGGGGAGGUGCUGGCCGUUCGGCGGGGAGGCGG
RNAcentral lists this long non-coding RNA (322 nucleotides) under Oryza brachyantha (malo sina). Its description in RNAcentral is "long non-coding RNA (OBRA_LNC001518)". The record is from RNAcentral. Lineage: Eukaryota; Viridiplantae; Streptophyta; Magnoliopsida; Poales; Poaceae.